RNAcentral lists this ribosomal RNA (775 nucleotides) under uncultured Neocallimastigales. RNAcentral's name for it is "partial large subunit ribosomal RNA". It matches the Rfam family "Eukaryotic large subunit ribosomal RNA", at positions 22 to 643 of the family's 3401-position model. Lineage: Eukaryota; Fungi; Neocallimastigomycota; Neocallimastigomycetes; Neocallimastigales. The record is from RNAcentral.
GUACACGCUGUGACUAGCAUAUCAAUAAGCGGAGGAAAAGAAACUAACAAGGAUUCCCCUAGUAACGGCGAGUGAAGCGGGAAGAGCUCAAAUUUGAAAUCUUAAAGGGUUUCCCUUUACGAAUUGUAGUUUAAAGAAGUGUUUUCUGUUGAGGUUUUGGUAAAAGUUCUUUGGAAUAGGACAUCAUAGAGGGUGAGAAUCCCGUAUUUGACCUUUACUUUCAACUUUGUGAUACACUUUCAAAGAGUCGGAUCGUUUGGGAAUGCAGUCCAAAAUGGGUGGUAAAUUUCAUCUAAAGCUAAAUAUUGGCGAGAGACCGAUAGCGAACAAGUACCGUGAGGGAAAGAUGAAAAGAACUUUGAAAAGAGAGUUAAACAGUACGUGAAAUUGUCAAAAGGGAAGCGUUUGACACCAGUGUUGUCUUUUCUGAAAAUCAAUUAAAGAACUGUUUAUGCUAAGCUGUUUAGACUUUAUCAGCUAUCUGUUUAGUUUUGAGCUUUUCUUUAAUGCACUUUUCAGUUAACAAGUCAACAUCAAUUUCUUUUGCUGUAAAAAAGCUUGAGGAAGGUGGCUUGAGAUUCGUCUUAAGUGUUUAUAGCCUCUUGCCUAUGCAGUCGGAGAGAUUGAGGUCUGCAGCGUAGAUCCUUCGGGGCUAAAUGCAUUUGUGCUAAGUUAUAGCAUUUUAUAGACAACUUGUUGACUAUGAUUUGUCUUGUAGCUUACUCGCUUAUGUUAUUUUACCUACGCUUAGGAUGUUGAAGAUGUAGCACAUCAU